RNAcentral lists this long non-coding RNA (765 nucleotides) under Mustela putorius furo (domestic ferret). Its description in RNAcentral is "lncRNA (ENSMPUG00000029355.1)". Lineage: Eukaryota; Metazoa; Chordata; Mammalia; Carnivora; Mustelidae. The record is from RNAcentral.
UGGGCUUAUGGGAACAACACCUGUGUGGGUGAGUGUGCAGCAGGAGGGGGCAGAGGGAGGGUGUGGGCCUGGCUGGAGCUGUCACCAGGGCCUCAGUGCAUUCCCCCACAGACAGAGCUCUUGAGCUAGGUUGGCCUUUAAAGUUACCCCACGGAGACAAGGUGGCUGGGCCUAGGUGCCCCUGUGUUUACGAGGAAUCCUGGGUUGCAGCCUACUCCCAGACUGGAUGUAAUCCCCGGGCCAGGCAGUACUCUUCAGCCAAGGGCAGUCUUGGAGAGGCACUCAAGUGUGAGAGUCAGCAUCCACUGUUCCCAGCAUCUGGAAGGAGAGAGAGCAGGAGCGCGUAAGCUGGGGGAGCAGCAGACGGAGAAGGAGAAGCUGACUCGUGGCCAAGCAGGGAGCCUAAAGUGAGGCUUGAUCCAAGGACCCUGAGAUCAUGACCUGAGUUGCUUAACCAACUGAGCACCACAGAUGCCCCAGGACAGUACUUUAUACUACCCCUGCAACUUUUCUCCAAGAUUAUACCAAAUAAAUAGUUAAAUGCAGUCCCAUUCUCACUGUCUUCCCACUUUUUGGAGAUGAACACUGAGUAUUUAUGUGUUUCAAAGAACAAAGACAGUACCAGAAGUAGUAAGAGUAACUGAUUGGUAUUCAGUUGAAAGAGUUAGUCCCUAGUUAAAGAUUCUUAUUAUUUACUUCUAAACUAUUUUGGGGAAGGCAAUCAGAACUCACUCUCAGAAGCUGAGGUCAUGCACUUGAAAGGAG